RNAcentral lists this ribosomal RNA (348 nucleotides) under Triticum aestivum (bread wheat). RNAcentral describes it as "partial small subunit ribosomal RNA". The record is from RNAcentral. Lineage: Eukaryota; Viridiplantae; Streptophyta; Magnoliopsida; Poales; Poaceae.
AUGAGACGCGGUCAGCCGCACAGCAUUGACAUCAACUGGGACAACAUCCCGGUGCCGGCUUGCGAUCUCACCGAGCUUGGAGCUGCCUUCACGGAGGAAGAGGUGAAAAAGGUGAUUUUUGAUCUCCCCAGUGACAAAGCACCGGGACCGGAUGGCUUCUCUGGGGCCUUCUUCAAAGCGUGUUGGGAGAUCAUAAAAGAUGAUGUUUUGCUUGCUGUCAAUCACUUUUCCAAUCUGCGCUCCACGAACUUAAACUGGCUCAACUCGGCGAACAUUGCUCUCAUCCCCAAGAAGGAUGGUGCGGAAUGCAUCUCAGAUUUUCGCCCCAUUAGCCUCAUCCACGCCAUC